RNAcentral lists this long non-coding RNA (268 nucleotides) under Homo sapiens (human). RNAcentral's name for it is "non-protein coding lnc-ACO1-3:3". Lineage: Eukaryota; Metazoa; Chordata; Mammalia; Primates; Hominidae. The record is from RNAcentral.
CAGUGGCGCAAUCUUGGCUCACUGCAACCUCUGCCUCCCAGGUUCAGGCAAUUCUUGUGCCUCAGCCUCCCCGGUAGCUGGGAUUACAGGCGUGCACCACCACACCUGGCUAAUUUUUGUAUUUUAGUAGAGACGGGGUUUCACCAUGUUGGCCAGGCUGGUCUCGAAGUUCUGACCUUGUGAUCCACCCACCUUGGCCUCCCAAAGUGCUGGGAUUACACGCGUGAGCCACCGCGCCUGGCCCCCAAGAAUCACACUUUUGUUAUUU